GCUACGGGAGGCAGCAGUAGGGAAUAUUGCUCAAUGGGGGAAACCCUGAAGCAGCAACGCCGCGUGGAGGAUGAAGGUGUUCGGAUUGUAAACGCCUUGUGUUAGAGAAGAGAAUGACGGUAUCUAACGAAUAAGCACCGGCUAACUCCGUGCCAGCAGCCGCGGGAAUACGGAGGGUGCAAGCGUUACUCGGAACCACGGGGCGUAAAGAGCGCGUAGGCGGGAUAGCAAGUCCGAUGUGAAAUCCUAUGGCUUAACCCUAGAACUGCAUUUUAAACGGUUAUUCUAGAGUAUGGGAGAGGUAUGUGGACUUCUUGGUGUCGCGGUCAAAUCCGUAGAGAUCACGCGGAAUCCUCAUUGCGAAGGCGACCUGCUAGACCAUCACUGCCGCUGAUGCGC
RNAcentral lists this ribosomal RNA (399 nucleotides) under uncultured bacterium. RNAcentral's name for it is "partial 16S ribosomal RNA". It matches the Rfam family "Bacterial small subunit ribosomal RNA", at positions 338 to 754 of the family's 1533-position model. The record is from RNAcentral.